Molecule: microRNA precursor, 61 nt
Filed under: Danio rerio (zebrafish)
Lineage: Eukaryota; Metazoa; Chordata; Actinopteri; Cypriniformes; Danionidae
Description: Dre-Mir-19-P2d_pre stem-loop
Source: RNAcentral
AGCUUUGCGGGGUGGGCAGUCAGCCUCCGUGUGGCCGCUGUGCAAACCCAUGCAAAACUGA